RNAcentral lists this ribosomal RNA (240 nucleotides) under uncultured Lactobacillus sp. RNAcentral's name for it is "partial 16S ribosomal RNA". It matches the Rfam family "Bacterial small subunit ribosomal RNA", at positions 122 to 355 of the family's 1533-position model. Lineage: Bacteria; Bacillati; Bacillota; Bacilli; Lactobacillales; Lactobacillaceae. The record is from RNAcentral.
UAACCUGCCCAAGAGAUCGGGAUAACACCUGGAAACAGAUGCUAAUACCGGAUAACAAUAGAUGAUGCCUAUCAACUGUUUAAAAGAUGGUUCUGCUAUCACUCUUGGAUGGACCUGCGGUGCAUUAGCUAGUUGGUAGGGUAACGGCCUACCAAGGCGAUGAUGCAUAGCCGAGUUGAGAGACUGAUCGGCCACAUUGGGACUGAGACACGGCCCAAACUCCUACGGGAGGCAGCAGCC